GACGAACGCUGGCGGCGUGCUUAACACAUGCAAGUCGAACGAAGAGCGAUGGAAGCUUGCUUCUAUCAAUCUUAGUGGCGAACGGGUGAGUAACGCGUAAUCAACCUGCCCUUCAGAGGGGGACAACAGUUGGAGACGACUGCUAAUACCGCAUACGAUCUAAUCUCGGCAUCGAGGAUAGAUGAAAGGUGGCCUCUACAUGUAAGCUAUCACUGAAGGAGGGGAUUGCGUCUGAUUAGCUAGUUGGAGGGGUAACGGCCCACCAAGGCGAUGAUCAGUAGCCGGUCUGAGAGGAUGAACGGCCACAUUGGGACUGAGACACGGCCCAGACUCCUACGGGAGGCAGCAGUGGGGAAUCUUCCGCAAUGGACGAAAGUCUGACGGAGCAACGCCGCGUGAGUGAUGACGGCCUUCGGGUUGUAAAGCUCUGUUAAUCGGGACGAAAGGCCUUCUUGCGAAUAGUGAGAAGGAUUGACGGUACCGGAAUAGAAAGCCACGGCUAACUACGUG
RNAcentral lists this ribosomal RNA (510 nucleotides) under uncultured bacterium. RNAcentral describes it as "partial 16S ribosomal RNA". It matches the Rfam family "Bacterial small subunit ribosomal RNA", at positions 28 to 507 of the family's 1533-position model. The record is from RNAcentral.